UAUCUAAAAAAUGACAUUUUAACGUCAUUAAGUUAUCCAUUUCCUUUUUAAAAAUUUAAUUUUUUCUUAGUAGUUUUCCAAAAUAUAAGUAGAAAUAUUGCCACAACUUUGAAAUUGUUGAAAUGGAAUUCAAAAGCGUCGGAGAUAUGUGCGAUGUUAUAUCGCAUGUGGUUUUCUGUCCAGAUGACGGUACAAUGAUGGUAACUUCCGCCAAUAAGGAACUUUGGAUACCAUCAGUAAAAGUCACUGGAGCAUCAAGUUGGGAGAGCAUGUCCAACAACGAAUUAAAAAAUCUCCUAGGAAGUGUCACUAUCUCAUCUGAACGACUGACAUGCCUAUCAAAAGUAACUAUCCCCGAUUUAUCGGCAUCGACAUUUUACCAUUGUGUUCUAGAAAUCAAACUUAAAUCCGACGCAAAGAAGAAAAUUAAAACCACCAGUUCAAAGUAUCAAGGACAAAUAAGGUGGCUAAGAGAUAAAGAAAUAUUACAGUAUCUGUACUCGGAUAAUGUAUUAAGUCCUGAACUAGUGGAAUUUUGUCAACUGGCAAAGAGCUCAAAGAAUGACACUUCAUUUCCUGAUGGUGGAGAAGCACUGACAUUCAGGGCUAAUGAAUACCAUUACAAGGGAAUACUUUCUGAAAUAAAUGCGGAUACAUUGGUGACGUUGUCCGGUCAAACCCCUUACGAAUCGCUUGUUGAAGCAGCUUCAUUUACCAAAGAAGUGCAAACAACACUACUCAAAUUAUUUAUACUCUUCUGCUUUCCUGCCUUGUACAUGUGCCAAAGGAUUUUUACCAAAUUAAUGAGCGAACUUGGCUGGCCUGCAGAUGAAAUCACUUUCUUAUUCAGAGCUGCUGACACGAAUGGUCGAUCAGCUUUAUCCUUUCGGGACUUUCUGUACAUUUUAGCUGCUAUUGAACCUGGAACAAUACAUGGAGGCGGAGCUGCUGAAAUUCGGUGUAAAUUCAUAUUUCGAUAUUAUGACAGAGAUCGAGAUAACGUAUUAAGUCCUACCGAAUUUAAAUUAAUAAUAAGCGCAAGUAGAAAACUGAAAAGGCUACCAAUUGAUGCUGCAAGUGUGAAACAAGAAGCUGACUCUAUUUUAAAAACCAUCGGUUUGGGAGAAACCAGCAACGUAACAAUAGCUCAAUUUUUAAAAUGUGUCAGCGAUUUAAAGUUCCGUGGAACUUCGCAAUUGUUUCGUUUACAAAACAGCAUAAACGCCUACAUAAAGAAUCAGGGAACUAAAUUACAGGGCAACAUAAGUUCAAGUCCUGCAUUUUAUUCUAAAAAUACCGGUAACACAGCAGGAAAAGUCGCCGGACCAGUUCCUACCAUCGAAUACGUGUUUGCUCAACAUUCUCUCCGAAUCCUAGAAGGUGGAACUGAAAUCAACAUCCAGCAGUUAACUGAUAUCGAUACCGGUGUAUCAGCAUCAAGUACAGGAAUUGUCGGUAGUAAUGCCUCGAGACGCAUGUCACUUGAUCAAUUCAAUCAACAAUCGCUAACGAACGAGCUCAUAAAGUCGUUAAGAUUCCUGGCAUAUAACAACAAGAAAAAAUACGAACCGCUAAAACUAGCAAAAACAUUUCCUGACUACAAUUGGGGACCCGUGGAUCCGAGCGUUUUUUGCAGACAGCUGUCGCAAGUUUGUGAUUCGGUUAAGAAAAUUUUACGAGAAGAGAAGCGAAUGAUUUCUCUAACGUCACCUAUAUAUGUUUUAGGCGAUUUACAUGGAAAUUUUCCUGUGUUAUUGGAAUUUGAAAAAAGUUUUUGGUGUUUUGGACCCGCAUUAUGCCCUUGUAGUUUAUUGUUCCUUGGAGACUAUGUUGACAGAGGAGUAUGGAGUAUCGAAGUUAUAACAUACCUGUUAUGUUUUAAAGCGCAAUUUCCAGACAAAAUUUUUCUCAUUAGAGGCAAUCAUGAAGUAAGAGAAGUCCAAAAAUCGUUUUCUUUUUAUGAAGAAUGUAAUAAGAAAUUUGGCGAAAAACUUGGCCCAUCCGUAUGGAACCUCGUAAAUACUGUAUUUGAUGUCAUGCCAUUGGCUGCCACAAUAGAUGGUCAGGUAUAUACCAAAAUAACUUUACAGAUUAGUUAUUUUGUUGCCAUGGUGGAAUUCCACCCCCGUGGCUAUGUCCAACAAUAUCUGCCCUGUACAAGAUUCCCAUCGAACUGAGUAAACCCGCUGAGCAAAGUUCGCUAGCUUGGGAAUUAAUGUGGAACGACCCUGUAAAGCAGAACAGUCUAAAUGAGCAAGUUGCCAUGGAAUUGAUGGCCAAUGAAGGUUUUGCUAACAAUAAAAAACGAGGUACGGCACAUAUCU
Molecule: unclassified non-coding RNA, 2324 nt
Filed under: Agrilus planipennis (emerald ash borer)
Lineage: Eukaryota; Metazoa; Arthropoda; Insecta; Coleoptera; Buprestidae
Description: uncharacterized LOC108734935, transcript variant X4
Source: RNAcentral